This 700-nucleotide long non-coding RNA is filed under the name Capsicum annuum. RNAcentral describes it as "long non-coding RNA (CANN_LNC018845)". The record is from RNAcentral. Lineage: Eukaryota; Viridiplantae; Streptophyta; Magnoliopsida; Solanales; Solanaceae.
CACCCUUAGAUAUCUCUGGCUGUUGAACAAUAUCUUUCGGCAUAAUCAUAUCUCUAGUAAGUAUUUGUAGUUUAUUAUUUUAUCUUAUAGUAGUUGUAAUUUUAUAAAUUUCUGUAUAAUAACUUAUUCUAAUCGUGCUAUAUCUAAUAUGUGAUUCUAUGUUAUCUGCACCCCCUACAAUUGAUAUCAGAGCAAUGUUAUUUAAAAAAUGUACAAGUAGAUAUGUGUUAAUUAUGAGAAAUGUUAGAAAUGUUAACUAAUUGUUAAUAUUAUUAAUUAUGUUAACUAUGUUGUUAUUUAUUUGUUAAAUAUGAGAAGACCAUUUAAAAAUACACAGGCUUUUAAAAAGGUUAAAAGAAUUCUAAAUAGUAAUUAUUCAGAAUAUAAGAAAUUAAUAAAACAAAGGAAAACCCCAUAGAUUAGCUUACUUAAUUACCUUAAUACCUAGCAAUGAGGCAAAAUUAAUAAUUCAUUUAAAAUCUAGAAGAAUGAGAAACAUACCACCUAAUUAUGAUAAAAUCAGAUUUCUGUAUCCACCAAAAUAUUAUAAAUAUUAUACAGAUGAAUAACAUAACAAAAUCACAAAAAUAUAAAGAACUAAAACAAAUAAUAUCUGAAAAACGAAGAGAAUUAAAAAUUAAGAAAAGAAAGACUACAAUAUAACAUAAUUGUUGGAGUAUGCCAAAAAUCAAAAGCACCA